UAGGAUUAGGAUUAAUAGAAAUUAACAAAAAUUAGUAAAAAUAAGUAUAUAUACAUAUUUAGAUAGUGUUAGGGUUAGAAAUUAGGGUUAAAAGUAAGAGUUAGAAGUAGAAGUUAGGGUUAGAAGAAGUUAGAUUAUAGUUUUUUAUAUAUUAUAAAAUAUAAAAAAUUUAAAGUUAGAUUAUAAUUAGAUAAUUAUAAAAAUUUAAAUUAUAAAAAUUAUAAAUUGAAAUUAUUUUAGAUAUUUUAAAUUUUAAAGUUAAAAAAUAAAUUUAAAGAAGGUAUUUUAAUUUUUAAUGUUACAAAUUCAAGUAUUAUAAAAGUUAUUUUAAAUUAUAAAUCCUAAAAAGUAAAAAAUCAACAACUAAUGAUUUUUUUAAAAAUAUAAUUUUUUUUUUAAAUAACAAUUUUUAAUAUGAACUUAGUAGGUCAGGGUUAGUCUAAUUUAAUAAAUUCUAAAAUUCAAUUUAAUAAAUUAAAUAUUUUAAAAGUUAUAAAAUAAUUAGUUAUUUUAAAUUAAAAAAAAUAGAAGAAGUUAUAAGUUAAAGUUAUUUUAGAUAUUUUAAAUUUUAAAGUGAAAAAUAAAAUUAAAAAAAGUUAUUUGAAGUUAUCAAUUCAAUUAUAAAAGUUAUUUUAAAUUAUAAAUUCUAAAAAGUUA
Molecule: long non-coding RNA, 657 nt
Filed under: Zostera marina
Lineage: Eukaryota; Viridiplantae; Streptophyta; Magnoliopsida; Alismatales; Zosteraceae
Description: long non-coding RNA (ZMAR_LNC005927)
Source: RNAcentral